This 57-nucleotide transfer RNA is filed under the name Steinernema carpocapsae. RNAcentral's name for it is "tRNA-Arg". The record is from RNAcentral. Lineage: Eukaryota; Metazoa; Nematoda; Chromadorea; Rhabditida; Steinernematidae. RNAcentral also lists the same sequence under 1 other name.
AAACGAAAAAUAGAUUUUUACUAUGUUUGGUUACGGUCCAAAAAGAUUCCUCGUUUU